UACGUAGGGUGCAAGCGUUGUCCGGAAUUAUUGGGCGUAAAGAGCUCGUAGGCGGUUUGUCGCGUCUGCUGUGAAAAUCCAGGGCUUAACCCUGGACCUGCAGUGGGUACGGGCAGACUGGAGUGCGGUAGGGGAGAUCGGAAUUCCUGGUGUAGCGGUGAAAUGCGCAGAUAUCAGGAGGAACACCGGUGGCGAAGGCGGAUCUCUGGGCCAUUACUGACGCUGAGGAGCGAAAGCGUGGGGAGCGAACAGG
Molecule: ribosomal RNA, 253 nt
Filed under: uncultured bacterium
Lineage: Bacteria
Description: partial 16S ribosomal RNA
Rfam family: Bacterial small subunit ribosomal RNA
Source: RNAcentral